UGCAAUAAUCAAUGCUUUAAAAGAUGAAAACGUGAAUAACACUAAUCGGUAUUAACAUGAACAAUAAUCCAAUGCACAAAAUGUCACAAGUAGAGUCAAAACCAAUGAAAAAUAAGAUAAUAAUACCUGAGUUAGGUGAGGAUGCAAAUAACGAAACCAACAAAACCAUAAAAUUAUAUAGAUAUAUAAAGCAUGUUCACAGAGUCAUUGGUGAUUUGGGAACUAAGAAACAUGGGGAUGUGUUGGAUUUUGGGAGCUAGCCAAGCACUUACAAAUACAAUUACCACAGGGAACACAUGCAAAGCAAUACAUAUAAUAUGAGUGUACCCAAUUCGAUUCCAAGCAA
This 346-nucleotide long non-coding RNA is filed under the name Gossypium barbadense (sea-island cotton). Its description in RNAcentral is "long non-coding RNA (GBAR_LNC013431)". The record is from RNAcentral. Lineage: Eukaryota; Viridiplantae; Streptophyta; Magnoliopsida; Malvales; Malvaceae.